This 424-nucleotide ribosomal RNA is filed under the name uncultured bacterium. RNAcentral describes it as "bacterial SSU rRNA". It matches the Rfam family "Bacterial small subunit ribosomal RNA", at positions 355 to 796 of the family's 1533-position model. The record is from RNAcentral.
UAACGAAUCUUCCGCAAUGCACGCAAGUGUGACGGAGCGACGCCGCGUGUGGGAUGAAGUCCUUCGGGAUGUAAACCACUGUCAGGGGUAGGAAAGUUCUGAUCCACCCCAGAGGAAGGCACGGCUAACUCUGUGCCAGCAGCCGCGGUAAGACAGAGGUGCCGAGCGUUAGGCGGAAUCACUGGGCUUAAAGCGUGUGUAGGCGGAUCGUUAAGUACCUUGUGAAAUCCCAUGGCUUAACCAUGGAACUGCUGGGUAUACUGGCGGUCUUGAGUCACCCAGGGGCUACCGGAACAAAUGGUGGAGCGGUGAAAUGCGUAGAUAUCAUUUGGAACGCCAAUGGCGAAAGCAGGUAGCUGGAGGUGUACUGACGCUGAGACACGAAAGCCAGGGGAGCAAACGGGAUUAGAUACCCCCGUAGUCC